RNAcentral lists this long non-coding RNA (8502 nucleotides) under Malus domestica (apple). RNAcentral describes it as "long non-coding RNA (MDOM_LNC018136)". Lineage: Eukaryota; Viridiplantae; Streptophyta; Magnoliopsida; Rosales; Rosaceae. The record is from RNAcentral.
UAGGCCUGGGCCCGUGCAAACUUGGAUGGCACGACUUGUGAAGGAAGAUUUGUGAAAAACAUGUUCAUUUAAGCAACAUCUAUAAGCAUGCAAUUAACAAUUAAAGGCGGAAUCAUGCUUGUAUGCACUUAUAAACAAAACAUUAACCAUGAAAUUCAAAGCCUAGUAGAUUGGUGAACCAAGACUCAACUCAAAUCAAAGUGAGUUAAGAAAUUAUACCUUUGUAGAUUCCUCUUUGCAUAAGCAAAGGCUAAUCACCCAAAGAGAGGGCCUUCAUUCCUUGCAUCUUAGAUCUAUGGAUUUGGAUGGAUGAAAUGGUUCUCCAAGUUCCCAAAAUUGAAAACCUCUAAGUCUCCACACCAAGGUAGAUUGGAUGAAGAAAUGAGUGACCUUGGAGUAGAAAGGAUAGAUCUAGCUAAUCCCUCCAAGGGGGCCGGCCUCUUUAGAGAGAAAGGGAGAGACAUGUUCUCUCCCAAUUUUCUCCAAAAAGAAACCCUUAAAUGAAUUUUGGCUAUAAAGUCAUAUUUAUACCUUAAUUUCAUUGGAGUGGCAAACUUGUAAAUAAGUCCAAAACCCACUCCAUCUCUAAAUGGCCGGCCAAAGGGUUUUUUGGGCUUUUGGGCCUUUGUGAAUCUAUUAUUCAUUAAGUUGUCAUACAACUUAAGUCAAUGGGCUUGACGUUCGAAGCCCAUUGGGCCUUAAGGUCCAAAACUAUCCCGAGGUCUUUUAACGAACUUAUUCGUUUGAUUAAUUAACAUAUUAAUUAAUCCUUGCCAUAAAUAAUUAAACCAUUUAAUUAUUCUUACUCAUCUCCAUUGUUUCUUCAAUCUCCACCUUACACGGUGUACGAUCCAUUAGGUUCCUUUUAGCGAGGCAGUGGGCGAUUAAAAACCAUUUCAAAUCGAUUGUGAAUUGAAACUUACUUUCAAUUCUCCCUUUAGUGAUUAUACACGUUUAGGGCUUCCACAAACCAUGAGUGACACCUAGCAGCAUAUCAUGGUUACCCAAGCUAAUCAGAAGAGGUGGAGAACCUAUUCAGUUUAGGAUUACAAAUGCAAUACGGUCUUUCUCUAAUACAAUACUCUUGACCACAUUGUUUGGUUUGAUAGUUUAUUUAUUCAUGUCUACUAUCCAAUGUGAUUCGUGUGCUUAUAUGAUUACCUUGAAUGUGAUUUGGAACGACUUCCUAAAUCUCAUUCAUACUCUGGCCAGAGAUUCUUAAAUCAUAUCAUAGAGUAUUCUCCCCUCAAACGGUUUGAAGGUUAGAGAUCCCUUGUUGCGCAUUCACUUGCCUCCAUGGCUAAGUGGCUUAACCCCAACGAUGCCGUGGACACCCUCCUUUGGAGUGACUUUGACAUAAUCAAAGAUCAAGGACUUAACCACAAGACAACUAUGAUGCCUCAGGUCAAAGGACUACUUUGCAUUAUCCCAACCAUGAGUUCUCAUGUGACAUGAAUAUGAGAACUCUUCGUUGAUCGUGUUCAGUGAACUCAUUCUCUAUUGAGCACCUACGUACUUGUCUUGAUGUCACACACACCAAUGACUCGAGACUAGUCACUCUCCCUGAGAGAAGACACAGCACGUACUGAUCUUAACGGACUGUCAAUGCCCAAUUGGCAAUCCUAUGAUCAGGAACGUUUAGGAUGUGUCUACGAAAGAAUGGUCUCAUGAAUCUAACUUCUUUAGAUUGCAUUCUCCCAAUCACAUAUUCCUUGGACUUUAUCGUUUAAGCAUAUAACAUUUAUAUGAGACGGCUCAAAAACAAUAAUCUUUGCCCUUUAUAUUUUAAACUAGAUUAGUUUAACAUGUGAAAUGUCCGUAAGUAUCAUCAUAUGAUUGGUUUUAGGGCACAUUUCCAACAAUCUCCCACUUGCACUAGAGCCAAUCAGCUUGGUCAUCAGUGAUGAUACCUCUUCUGUAGUCAUUUCAUAAAUGGCUGAAUAGUAGGCCUAGACAAUGGAUAUCUAUAUGUUAUCCAUAGAAGCAACCUUGAGAAUAACGACGUCACCAUUAUACAUGAUUCUCAAUCAUGUGGUUCAGUCUCUCAUUUGAGUUCGGAUCUUGAUGAGACCUUGAUUCCCUGGCUUGAGCUAUCGCCCCAUUAGUGUCGUAGUGUCGGUACACUAGAGACACUUUCUGGUUGGAACCGAAUAGAGAGUUCAUAAAUGAACUUUCCCAUCCAAACAACAUUGUUGUAAGCUUCUAUAUGGCAAUAUAUAUUUUGCAUUCAUAAUGGAACACACUAAAGUCAUUACUUUUAAUGUUUCCAUCCAAAUAUCUCUUUAGUCAUAAUAAAGAGAUAUCUGUUUAUCUCUUCAUUCAUAAUGAAGAAACAUCCAAUGAUGGAUUAGAUUCAUAAUCUAAUACAUUUACGCUUCCAUUACGUUACUCUAAUUCUUCCUCAUUCUUUGAGGAAUCUAUCCUUUAGUAUUUCUUAAAUACUUAAGGACUCACUUGACAGUUGCCAUGGUUCUGAUCCUGGGCUUGCACUGAUAUCGUCUUGUACCGUUCUAGGUACAACUCAUAUCAAUGUUUUUCAUACAAUAUGAAAUACAUAAAUCACCUUUCUGCGUAUGCAUAAAGGAUUCUAUUUACGCAUUAUUUCUUUGGGAGUCAAAGGGUACGUUCCCUUUUGAGAAGAGGCAACUUGCUAGUCUCACUAGAGUUGUCCUUCUAAUUGAAGUUUAUCAUCAUAUGAGAAACUUCCUAGCAUCUUAUUGUCUAUUAUUAGGGAUUGAUAUAAUCCAAUUAUAUCAUGAAAUAUAUCAUUAUAGAUUUCCAUCCCAUGUAUAUAGACUAUAUCUCCCAUAUACAUUCUAUCUUCAUAUAAUGUUUUAAAGUCAUAACUUUAACGAAGAAGUAUUCUUUUCAUUUCCAAAAUUAAUAUAUCAUAUAUAUAUAUUUUAAAUUUUUAGGAACAUGAUUAACUCCCACUAAUCUUUUGUAAACCUAGUAAACAAAAGAUUCAUUUACAUCUUUAUGAGAAAUCAAACGAUUUGAUCCUUUUUCUCAUAAGAUGCUCAUAAUAGCUCCCACUAGCUUGCUAAGAUUCCAUGAUGGAUGGAUCUCUACAACUUACAUGUCUUGUGAUUCAUAGUUUUAGACAUAUAUUAUCAAGACUAUCUUAAUAAUGGUUUCGGAAACCCAUAUUAUGUCCAAACAUUGAAUCACCAUUUAGUUGUAGCUAGCAAUCUUCGAAUUAAUUGAAACCAAGACUACGUCAAAGAUGGUUUCUUCAAAGUCAACCAUUCUCUUUUGAUUGUAGUCACCUUAAGCUACCAAUUAGCUUAUGAAGGUUUCAUUAUUUCGGGUCAAAUGGUACUUUACCAUUUCCUUGAGUAUAUAUCGUAUAUACACUCAAUGUAGUCAUAAGGAUUUUCAUUCUUAUUUCUUUCGAAUUAAGAGGUGCAACUCUAUGACAUAGUCAUAAAGUUCAAACCAUUCAACUGAGACGGUUUAUAAAUCCUUCUCGACUACCUUGGAGCUUGUGGUAUAGGAACUAGGUUGUUAUAUUUUGUUGAUUACUAUCUUGUCUCUCAAAGAACCCAUUCUUUGAGUUCUAUCUCUCGUUCAUUUGCUCUUAGGCAAAUCACAUUGUAGGAUUACAAUGAACUACCCAACAAAACAACAUUUGUUAGUUGGUUUAUAGAAGCGAUAUCCAAAAGUUAAUUUAAGGAUAUCCUACAAGAUUGUUAUCAAACAAAUAUUGCUUAUUAGCACACAACCCCAAAUCUUAACAUGCUUGAGAUUUGUCUUUCUUUCCAACUACAUCUUAUGGAGUCAUGAAAAUUUUGGAAGAUCUUCUAAUUGACAAUCAUAUUGUCUUAGAAGUAUAUAUCCUAUAUAUAUGGGUAAUAGAUAACAUCUAACGAACUCAAUCUUAUUCAAGUUCGUUCUUCUCCUAAUGGAGAAAUUCAUUAUCUUAUGAUGCUUCUUUCCUUGAUAUCUUUCAAGGAAACUCAUCUAAAGUGUUACCUUUCCUUGGAUCAAAUCUAAGGAGGUAAAUACUUUAGACGUCUUACUCAUCAACUUACAUUUCUUGAAUUCUUUGAAACAUUUUGCAAAGUAUUCGGACUUGUGUUUAUUCAAAAUAAACUAUAGUCCAACCGAGAGUGAUCUUCGGUGAAUGUCAUAUAAUAUGAGUAGUAUUAUGUUUGUGGACAAGUGCCACUAACAUUUAAGUGAAUUAACCUCAACAACUUUGUGAUUCUUUCUUCUUUCCAAAAGAAUAAAGAUUCGAACAUUUCGCCUCUAUACAAUUUUAACAAGAAGGUAUUGGAUCCGGAUCUAACGAUCCAAAGCAUCCAUCUAUGACCAACUCGUAAUUUAUGUUUUAGAGAUUAAACUUUAGUUGGGAUUAGUCACUACCUUGCAACCUUUUGGGUUUUAAGCAUCAUUGUAUUCUAAACAGUUAACACUACCAUAUCAUCUCUACUAUAGAGACAAUCAAUUAGAUUACUAUAAUCCAAUCAUUGAUUAAUAAAGAACAAUGUUUUGUCAAACAAAACAUUCAUCCAUCUCUACUAUAGUGACGGAAUUAAGUUCCUUAAAAUUGGAAUGUAAAGACAAUCUUUGGUUUUUCCAAUUUCUUUGGUAGUUCAUAUGAGGAAGUAAGUACUCUGCUUUCGCAGAGAUCUAUAUUUUAUUCACGUUCCGAAUGUGAAGCACCUUUUCUUCUCUCAUAUAUUCUUCUACUUCUUAUUAGUCACACUUUUACAACGAUUGUAAAACAUAGUUACUAAUACGGAAUCAAGCAUUCAAGUAGAAGAACCAACUGUUUUGAACUAUUCAAGAACAAUUUACAACACCUUCGAAAGGUGUGUUCUUGACACUUGCAAGACAUUUCUUGCAAAUACCCCUUCCAAUGUCCAUCCUUUCAUAAAGAAAGUUUGUUCCCUUGGAGUUAAUUUUAUCUUCUUCAUUUGACUUCUCCUUUGACUACAAUAGUCAUGGUCCCUAAACUCCCACUAUCUCUCUUGAAACUUAUUUCAAUUGUGUUAUACACAUCAAACAUUUUGGAGAGCAUGUGGUUAUUGUUCACUACAUAGUUUACAAUAAACUUAGUGAACCAUUAGGAUAGGGACACAAAGGUGAAGUCCUUGCCUAGUUUCCGUCUCGUUAGAAGUGGUUUAACACUUCAACACUCAAUGAUUCAAAAUCAUCAUAAGUCCAUGUUGAAUGGACUAUUUUUGUCAACCAACCAUUAUGUUCUAAACAUAAUUACAAACUUUCAAGAGUUGUUCAAGGCAACUCUCAUUUCUUCAUACAACAAUUUGUAAGUGAAGAAUCAUGGCACAUAAAGUGUCCAUGCCUUUGUGCUUUCUUCUCAAGUUCUUUGUUCAUUUAACAAAGAAACAAGCACUAAGUGUUUGCAUUGACUAAGGGUUGUUCAAAGCAACUCUUAUUUCUUCAUACAACAAUUUGUAAUUGAAGAAUUAUGACAUUAAAAGUGUUGUCCUCUUUAUGAUAGACUUUUCUAACAUGUUCUUCUAAUGAUACAUUAUCAAUAGGAAGAUUGUGAGGAUGAGACUACUUAGGUACAUAUUACAAUCCAUUUAAGACAAUCUUUGGGAUUUGUGGUACCAAGUCCGGAAACUAAAAGCAUUCGGCUUUUAUUUGUCAAGUGUUGGAUAGCGUUUGCAAAUAUAUUGGUAAACAAAUACAUAACGAAUAUAAAUUGAUUGAUUUUAAGCCAUUUGAUUCGGGUCUUUAAAUCAAAUAGCACCACCCACUAUUUUUGGCAAAUUCCAUAUCCCUCAUUGGAAUUCGAGAGUUUUGGAUGAAACUCUUAGUAGGGUUAUGGGAGACUCACUAUUACCAAGCCCACCUCACAAUGAUAUGAUAUUGGCUAGCAUUAAUAAUAAUGAGAGAGUACGCUUACUCAUUUGCAACUCUUGCAAGUACCCAUCUUAUUUGGCCUCUAGAGAAUGUAACCUCACAAUGAUAUGAUAUUGGCUCCAUUGCACUUAGUUAAGUCAUUCCCACCAUGCUUAGUUCAGUGUAGGGGUUCAAGAAUAACCUCACAAUGAUAUGAUAUUGAUCAUUCUCGUUGCCUACCUUUCACAACAUCAAGUAUGUAUAUAGGACUCCUCCUGAGUAUAAGCAUGCACUUUGUACUCCCCCAUGAUAGGGUGAAGCCGGUGUACAAGUCAUAAAACGAUUGGAGCCUACCACGGUGGAAGGCCACGAAAGAGUGUUCAAAGCACUCUCACGCUUAUCAACUUAAUAAUGGUUUGGUUGAGGGUUUUAGGUCUCAUCACAUAUAAACAUACAUUUUAAUCUCUAUUAAAACAAUUUUGGUCCUAUUACAACUAUUGGUCCAUUUGAUUGUUUUAGUUGUAUAUAAUACUCCCACUAUGCUUAUAAAACGGUUUUUAAAGCAAGAGUAUAUGAUACUACUAACAUAAACUUUGCAUUCAUUUGAUGGACUAUAUAGUUGCCUUAGGGCCUUAGGAUGACUAUGAACCUUUGUUUAGAUUCAACACGAGCCUUGUGUUGAAUCUCGGUCUAGGGAUGGUGAUUGAUUUUAGUUACGCGUUUAAUCACAUUAAGGCGUGUUGUCUUAGGGGCGUUGGACCCAACUACUUCAUUUUCAUGCAUAUCAAAUAAAGCAAGAAAAGAGUACUUCAAAGUAAAGGUGAGCUUAUGCUCUUUUACAACAUUUGCAUAAAACAAAUUACUUUAAAGUAAAGAAGAGCUUAUGCUCCUUUUACAACAUUUGAUCAAAUCAAAUUACAACCAAAAUCUAAUCUACACAUUCCCAUGGUUCAAACAAAUUUGAAACGGCCUUUCACAUAGCUCAAUUAUAUUAGGCUUAGGUUCAUAAUCACCCUUUAAUUAAUUAACACUUUAACUAAUUAAAUUGAAUGCAACAUUUUCAUUUGGUUUUUGUAUCCAUAAAAUUGAUUUAAAUGGAGCUAAAUGAAAAUGAAAAUCCAAUUCUCAUUUAAAGAGACAAAACAAUUUUGUUCUCAACCUAAUUUGGGCCAAUCAUGCAAUUAACCACAACUUUUGGGCUAUAUUGCAAAAAAACAUAAACUUUUGGGGUCACUUUGUAAAAACACAAAAGUCCACUACUUCAUGUAAUUACAACUAGAACCCAAAAUUUAAACAAUGCAAAAACUUCAUUAAAGGAGCAAAACAAUUUGUCCUUUAGCGUUUUUGGACCUAAACGUAAAAACGUAAACUUUUGGGUCCAAAGUGCAAAUACACAAAAGUAUCAAAACUUUAUGUAAUUGCAUAAAAGCCCCAAAAGUACCCCACUUGAGGGAGGGCCGGUUUUGGAGAAUGAGUCCACAAAAAAAUUUGAAAAUUUUUCAACAAAGUCAUAAAGCCAUGCAAGUUGAAAUUGUUUGGUUGGGAACAUGUGUGUAAGAAAAGAAAAACAAUUUUAUGACAUAAAUUAAACACUCUUUACAACAUUUUCCAUCACCUUUUCAAAUAAAAUGUUUUUGAUUGAUGAAAAAUCACAAACCAACAUUUAAAACAUAAACUUUAUGAAAUAAAUCAAAACUUUGAAUCAAAACACAAAACCUUUUUGUUCUUGGCAAAAAUGUCAAGAACAAUGAAGAACAUUCAUGAAAAACCCAAAAAAUUUCCAUGAACAUUUUUCACCCAAAAACAUCCCAAAACCAUUCAAACUUUAAGGGAAAUAACAUAUAACCAAACUAGGGUACAUAGGGGUUCCAAAAGUCACUUGAAAACACUUUUAACAAGUCAAACAAGAACCCAAAAAUCCACCCUUUGGAUUUGGCCGAAAAUUUCCCAAAAACAUGGCACCAAAUUUUAGCUCCAAUAUUCAUGCUCAUAUGAACUACAUCUACAACAUUUGAGAUGGCAAAUUUUCUAACAAAAUUUACAUUCAAAGAAACAAGAAUAAAGCUUGUAACAUAUUACAACUUUUAAAUCACAAACUAUGAACUACAAAACCCAAAAGGAUUCACCAACUACUAGACCUAGGCUCUGAUACCACUUGAAGGAAAUUUUGUGAAAAACAUGUUCAUUUAAGCAACAUCUAUAAGCAUGCAAUUAACAAUUAAAGGCGGAAUCAUGCUUGCAUGCACUUAAAAACAAAACAUUAACCAUGAAAUUCAAAGCCUAGUAGAUUGGUGAACCAAGACUCAACUCAAAACAAAGUGAGUUGAGAAAUUAUACCUUUGUAGAUUCCUCUUUGCAUAAGCAAAGGCUAAUCACCCAAAGAGAGAGGGCCUUCAUUCCUUGCAUUCUUAGAUCUAUGGAUUUGGAUGGAAGAAAUAGGUUCUCCAAGUUCCCAAAAUUGAGAACCUCUAAGUCUCUUCACACCAAGGUUAAGAUUGGAGAAGAAAUGAGUGACCUUGGAGUAGUAGGAUUGCUAGCUAAUCCCUCCAAGGGGGCCGGCCUCUUUAGAGAGAAAGGGAGAGACAUGUUUCUCACCAAUUUUCUCCAAAAAGAAACCCUUAAAUGAAUUUUGGCUAUAAAGUCAUAUUUAUACCUUAAUUCAUUGGAGUGGCAAACUUGUAAAUA